UACGUAGGGUGCAAGCGUUGUCCGGAAUUAUUGGGCGUAAAGAGCUCGUAGGCGGUUUGUUGCGUCGGCUGUGAAAUCCCGAGGCUCAACCUCGGGUCUGCAGUCGAUACGAGCAAACUAGAGUGUUGCAGGGGAGACUGGAAUUCCUGGUGUAGCGGUGAAAUGCGCAGAUAUCGGGAGGAACACCGGUGGCGAAGGCGGGUCUCUGGGCAACAACUGACGCUGAGGAGCGAAAGCGUGGGGAGCGAACAGG
RNAcentral lists this ribosomal RNA (253 nucleotides) under uncultured bacterium. Its description in RNAcentral is "partial 16S ribosomal RNA". It matches the Rfam family "Bacterial small subunit ribosomal RNA", at positions 524 to 776 of the family's 1533-position model. The record is from RNAcentral.